CUGAGCCCGCCCCCCGACAGGCACCGUGAGCCGUCUUGGAGCCCCAGGUGAAGGGCAGAUGCAGAGGAGAGAGACACAGAGGGCGGUUUAUGCUGUUAACCUCAGGGGUCACUCACAGCUUGAGUUCCAGCAGUAACAUCACUGCAGGUUAUUCAUUGCUCGCCACUCCGCACGAUAAGUCUCUGUUUGGCGUGUAGCUGCGUGGAAAAAGGCGGAGCCGCCCUCUCGCUGAUUCCCACAGGGCUCAGACAGACAGAAAAGGGACUGAGAGGCCCAGCAAUUCCGCGGUGAAGAUGGAAACGAUCCCGGGCUCAGGGAUUGUGCUGAUUUUUGUUCUGAUGUCCCCGGGUACAGCCGAGAUCCAGCAGCCGGGCUCCGCAGAAGGUGUGGAGGGAGCCGAGCUGAACUUCACCUGCUCUCACUCCUCAAUCAAAACGAAUGAGAAUGUCGUUUGGUACCGGCAGUUCCCGAACCGAGGACCCGAAUUUAUAGUUUCUGGAUUCCGGGAAACCACUCAUAUCCCCGACCCCGAGGGAGCUUUGUAUGUUUCUGGAGACAGAAAGUCCAGCGCCCUGGCCCUGAGCAGGGCGAGGCUGGCAGACGCUGCGGUGUAUUACUGCGCUCUGCGUGACACAGUGUGACAGCCAGGGGCUGGUCCCGUACAAGAAGUAUCUCACUGAGGCCUGUUGUGUGCGUAGGCGGUGGGAGGGGUGAAUGUGGGGUGUGUUUCUAUGAGCGGGAAAGAAGAGGGGCGAUUAGGGGAGAUAAAAGAGAUGAAUAAAACAUUUGGGGCCACAUUUCCAAGGUCUUAGUGCUCCUAACUAUUUACUUAGAACUUUUCCAAAGGAUCAAAUCUCAUUUCUCUCGUAAGAAAAUCUGCUUCAGGGAGAACUAUGAAGCACAGUAAAUGAAAAGAAACAAACCUUUCCCAUUACAUCUGCAAGGAGGCUAUUUUGAUAGAGAGAUGAAUAGAUAGAUUCAGCGUUGUUGUAGCCCCGUUGGAGGCAGGAUGUUAGACAGACAAGGUGGGAGAGAGAAUAUAUUUUA
Dermochelys coriacea (leatherback sea turtle) is the source of this 1047-nucleotide non-coding RNA. The record is from the annotation of a RefSeq genome assembly. NCBI's taxonomy places the organism in Eukaryota, Metazoa, Chordata, Testudines, Dermochelyidae.